UGAGGGGAAUUGCAAACACAGAAAGGGCAAGAGGACAUCCCAUGAACAAAGACAUGGAGAUGUCAACAAGCCUGGCAUGUGAAGAUAAUUUCGGAUCUGGCAAAGCAGGUGGAACAUGGAAAGUGCAUUCUCUGAUGAACCAGGGCAGUGUUCAAGGAGAUGGGGGCCUGUGGUGGUGAUUUGGUCACAAAGGUGGGGAUCCUGUGGUUGGCAUUACAGGAAGACAAAAAGG
Molecule: long non-coding RNA, 232 nt
Organism: Nannospalax galili (Upper Galilee mountains blind mole rat)
Lineage: Eukaryota; Metazoa; Chordata; Mammalia; Rodentia; Spalacidae
Exons: 3
Source: RefSeq, a predicted model, not a curated record